This 67-nucleotide transfer RNA is filed under the name Athalia tanaoserrula. Its description in RNAcentral is "tRNA-Thr". The record is from RNAcentral. Lineage: Eukaryota; Metazoa; Arthropoda; Insecta; Hymenoptera; Athaliidae.
GUUUUAAUAGUUUAUAUUAAAAAUAUUGAUGUUGUAAAUCAAUGAAAAAAAAAUCUUUUUUAAAACU